GCAAUAUUUGAUUAGAUAAGUCGGUGUUUUAUUAGGGAAGUUGGUGAACCUUUUGGUAACUCCAACACUGCCCCCGCAACGGUAAAUCGGUUAAGUUGUUUCACAAUGCCACUGCACAUUGACGUGUGGGAAGGCGAAGCAACCCGUUUGGAUAUUCAAAGAGAAACCUUUGAACUCAGAGUCUGAUACGUUUGAGUCACAAGUGACCUCCUGGAAUAGCUAACGUACUGAUAAGUCCGGAAACCUGCUUGGUGUGAUCUGUUUAU
This 266-nucleotide non-coding RNA is filed under the name Motiliproteus sp. The record is from RNAcentral. Lineage: Bacteria; Pseudomonadati; Pseudomonadota; Gammaproteobacteria; Oceanospirillales; Oceanospirillaceae.